ACGGGUUAUCAAGCCCUGGCUCUCUAUUUUCUCAGAAAAAAAGCAGCCCUUCUGCCCCUAAAAAAAGUCUACAAAGUCAAUCGUGAGACCAGACCUUGACCUGUUCCGUUUGGCGCUCUGGAUUGCGGAGCAUACCGAGGAGUCCUGGAUGGCAGAGCAGAUGCAACGGCACCCCUGAGCUGCCCUCAGGGGGUCCUCAGCCUUGGAGGAGGCAGGAGACCUGGGCUAUGGAGCCACUCACAGGCCCUACUGAGAACAACUUGGUGUCCAUCACAGUCCUCUUCAGAAUGCCCAGAAUAUGGGGAUAAGAAGGUGAAACCGGCAUGUUUAUUAACACAAUGGAAUAUUCUGUGGCCAAAUCAAAGGAAGACGUUGAGGAUUCUGGUGACACCUGGAAACGUACUGCUAAGGGAAAAAAGCAGGACCACAAUGUUAUGUGGAUAUUGACUGCGACUAUAUAUAAUGCCAGCGUGGACUUCUCAGAGAUGGAAUUUGGAGGAAUGUAAUACAGAUGCAAAUAGAGUUUUCCCCACA
Molecule: long non-coding RNA, 534 nt
Organism: Homo sapiens (human)
Lineage: Eukaryota; Metazoa; Chordata; Mammalia; Primates; Hominidae
Product: long intergenic non-protein coding RNA 2690
Source: Ensembl